RNAcentral lists this long non-coding RNA (224 nucleotides) under Lathyrus oleraceus (garden pea). RNAcentral's name for it is "Pisum sativum (pea) long non-coding RNA (PSAT_LNC013512)". The record is from RNAcentral. Lineage: Eukaryota; Viridiplantae; Streptophyta; Magnoliopsida; Fabales; Fabaceae.
AAAAAUCCAACAAGUAUCACAUUUUUUAAAACGUUCAUGGGGCACUUUUACAAUGGCCAUAAUCGGGCCAAAAUAAGUGGGGAAAAAUCAAUUGUAAAAAUAAUUUCACAAAUAAGAAGUAGGCAUAAAAAAAAAUCAUAAAGAAACUCAUUAGGAUGACUAAAACAAAUGGGAAAGAAAAUAAAAAUUAAGGGUGAAAAAGAAAUGAAAAAAAUGGAAAAAAU